AAUCUACCUAUAAGCGGGGGAUAACAUUCGGAAACGGGUGCUAAUACCGCAUAAUAUCUUCUUCCGCAUGGAAGAAGAUUGAAAGACGGCUCUGCUGUCACUUAUAGAUGACCUUGCGGUGCAUUAGUUAGUUGGUGGGGUAAUGGCCUACCAAGACGAUGAUGCAUAGCCGACCUGAGAGGGUGAUCGGCCACAUUGGGACUGAGACACGGCCCAA
Molecule: ribosomal RNA, 217 nt
Filed under: uncultured Aerococcus sp.
Lineage: Bacteria; Bacillati; Bacillota; Bacilli; Lactobacillales; Aerococcaceae
Description: partial 16S ribosomal RNA
Rfam family: Bacterial small subunit ribosomal RNA
Source: RNAcentral